AAUGAACGUUGGCGGCGUGGAUUAGGCAUGCGAGUCGUGCGGGUGUAGCAAUACACCAGCGGCGAAAGGGACAGUAAUAUGUAGGUCAUCUGCCCUCGAGACGGGGAUAGCCGCGGGAAACUGCGGGUAAUACCCGAUAACGUCUUCGGACCAAAGGUGUGAGUCCGCUCGGGGAUGAGCCUACAUCCUAUUAGCUAGUUGGCGGGGUAACGGCCCACCAAGGCAUCGAUGGGUAGCGGGUGUGAGAGCACGACCCGCGUCAUUGGGACUGAGACACUGCCCAGACACCUACGGGAGGCAG
Molecule: ribosomal RNA, 301 nt
Filed under: uncultured Planctomycetota bacterium
Lineage: Bacteria; Pseudomonadati; Planctomycetota
Description: bacterial SSU rRNA
Rfam family: Bacterial small subunit ribosomal RNA
Source: RNAcentral